UGUACACUAGGGUACGGUCAUAGUCAAGCAGUUCAGUCUGGGAUAGAGUUCUGAAAUUAGAGAAUUUAGGUCUACAGUAGAGUUAGCCAGGCACCUCAGAUACCGCGUAAUAUUAGGUGCGAGUCGUAGCUAUGUAAAGAGGGUCCCUAAUAGGUUUGGCGGGAUGCGGGAUUUGGCUUUUCUUUGAGGUGAUAUUUGGGAUUCGAGCUGAAAACAGGGACGUCUGUAAAUUCGAACCUGUAACGGCCACCUCUCCACAACGGCAACUUUUUUUGUACCAUACAUUCACUCUUGUUUUGACCUCUCUACAACGGCCACUUAAGACACAAUUUAAGCGUGUUCAAACCGGCCAAAAUGACCUCUUCACAACGACUGACAAACAGAGUAUACAAAACCCCAUUUUUGACUGGGCGUACAGCAAUAAAAGUUCUCGAAACCUGUUCCGUACCGUGCAUCGUCGGGUUGUACGGUACCAUUUGACGAAAGGGAACAUUAACUGUCUGUAGUAUUUAAAAAAGCUUGCGGUUUAUUAAUUAGAAACUGAACAUUUUGUUUCUGUUUCAUAUAUAUUUUUUCAAAACUGAAAACUUUUUACCCUCCCCUCCCUAAUAAAAUUGGUGUCAUAUUACAACCCUGCUUCUCCAUGUGGAGAGGUUUGACUGUAACAUUUAGCAUUUAUAUAGGAACAUUGUUUUUCCAGCCGAGGCUGAAUAUUCAUAUUUUUUGCCGAUUUUAGGAUGAAAUAAUCUUGUGAAUAUUCUUAGAUUAUAGCGUAUGACAUUUCUGUUUUCGAAUAUAUUUGGUGUCUGGAUGUUGCAUGGUGUUAAAGUAAGUUUGGAACCGGCUGCAGGCAUUAAAGCCUGUUAUGACGCACACAACUUCCCAGUGCAGCAAUAAAUAACGUGAUCCCGCGUGAUUUCCUGGUUCCCGCGUAAACCGUGAAAAGUUUUCGUGACGUUAUGCGUUUUCUCGUGACGCGAAGACACUGGUAAAGAGCAAACAUGGCGACGGGAGUUUGCAGAUUUGAGAGGAUUAUAAACUUAUUUUGGUGCCAAAACCACGAUUAAUAUGGCAUGCAUGGUAUCAUUUUCCUUUUAAGCAUAUUUUCCUCGUUUGGUUGGAUUUGGGGGCAAGGAAAAUGGCUGUGACGGGUGCAGAACACUCAAAUGAAGACCACGUACGUACGCGUUUGAUGCCGCUCACCAGCUCACUGACAACAGCCUGGCAAAUUAUUCUAAAGGCUACUUGAGGAAGAGCUGGAUUGAUGUACAGUACAUGUAUGUACCAGAUUAACAAGACAUUACGUAGAGAAGAUAAGGAAAGAAGGAAGAUUACUAAAGACUGAAGUGGCAAAGAGACAGACCAAAAAAGAAAAACAAUGGACUGAUGCAUGGCAACAGGUGCAACUGGAAGAAACCAAACCWGUUACCUUGACUCAGACCAGUCAACAAUGGAUGGACAGUGGAGAAGGCUGGAAAGACAGUGGACAAACCGAAAACAUUCAGACCUUCACCAGCCUGAGGUAAUUGCUUGUAACUCUUUUUGCCAGUUAUCCUGAUCAAAUUUCAGGCAAAGAUGCUAGACAGCAGAGAUCAUCACCAGACGGCAUGGACUUGGAAAGACAAGAAAAUGGGCAACAGGCCAGACACAAAGGAGGAUGCUUAAAGAUUGGCUACCAAGACAAGACAACAAGAUGGUUUAUUAACUAAAGUAGUUUGUCUAUUUAAUUGAGUAUUUCCUAUUUUGGCCCAGCCCGGGAGGCCUUUGAAUGUGGGGUACAGCUGGCCCGGGGUUUUCCUCCUAGGGGCAAGUGGACGUACAGGGAGGUUUUUCACCCAGCUGUUGUUCCACAACCCCCGUUCAGGUUAGUUGGUUAUUUGUUUAGCUUGAUACAAACAUAGUCUUAAACUAGAUUUUCAUAAUAGACUCUUGGCAAACUGCUUGCAUUGGUUGGAGCAAGUCAAUCUGAUGAACUCAGACAUCACAAACUCACAAGAACAAGUAACUCUCAACCGAUACCAACAACUACUUUUCUUUCACCCAACAAGUUGCUUUUUCGUGACCUCAACAAACUUUAACUUCAAACAGAACCAACACAAACUUGACUAACAACAGAUGGAUUGAGACAACACAACAUCUAACACUGACAACUUUACACCUUACAGAUAACUUAUUGGAGACCUGAGCAAACCAACCAACAAACUUUAAUGUUAAACAGAACCAACACAAACUUGACUAACAACAGAUGGAUUGAGACUACAAAACAUCUGACCUGUAACUUUACACACUACAGAUGACUAACCAAACUUUAGUUUUUGACAGAACCAUCACAAACUUGACUAACAACAGACGGAGUGAGACUUACAGAUGACUUAUUGAAGACCUCAACAAACCACACAACAAACUUACACUUCAAACAGAACCAACACAAACUUGACUAACAACAGAUAGGGUGAAACUAGAAAACAUCUAACACAGACAACUUUACACCUUACAGAUGACUUAUUGAAGACCUCAACAAACCAAACAACAAACUUUAACUUCAAACAGAACCAACAUAAAAUUGACAUUGACCUUCCAUCUAACAGCAGAUGGAUUGACACUGACAUCUGAAGCCAACAAUUACUUACAUCUUGAAGAUGACUUAUUCACACAAAAAAAGAUGACCUAUUUACAACCUCCACAAACUGUCAAACAAACUUUUAUUAACUUCAGACAGAACAAACACAUUUACUUGAUGAACAUAAUACUGUAGAUAGAUUGAGACCAGCAACUACUUACAUGUGACAACUGACUUAAUUAUCAGGACCUCAACGAACCUAAAAACUGCACCUGCAUGACUCUAGGACUUCAUUGUAAAAUGAAGAGACUGUCAUUGAUACUGCAGACUACUACUGACUGCUGCCAUGUACCACGAUCACCAAAACUACAGAAACUGCACA
Orbicella faveolata is the source of this 2942-nucleotide long non-coding RNA. Lineage: Eukaryota; Metazoa; Cnidaria; Anthozoa; Scleractinia; Merulinidae. The record is from RefSeq and is a predicted model, not a curated record.